Molecule: ribosomal RNA, 402 nt
Filed under: bacterium
Lineage: Bacteria
Description: partial 16S ribosomal RNA
Rfam family: Bacterial small subunit ribosomal RNA
Source: RNAcentral
UGGGGAAUUUUGCACAAUGGGGGAAACCCUGAUGCAGCGACGCCGCGUGAUUUAGAAGGCCUUCGGGUUGUAAAAAUCUUUUCUAUGGGAAGAAAAUGACAGUACCAUAGGAAUAAGGACCGGCUAAUUACGUGCCAGCAGCCGCGGUAAUACGUAAGGUCCGAGCGUUGUCCGGAAUCAUUGGGCGUAAAGGGUACGUAGGCGGGUAAGCAAGUUAGAAGUGAAAUCCUAUAGCUCAACUAUAGUAAGCUUUUAAAACUGCUCAUCUUGAGGUAUGGAAGGGAAAGUGGAAUUCCUAGUGUAGCGGUGACAUGCGCAGAUAUUAGGAGGAAUACCGGUGGCGAAGGCGACUUUCUGGCCAUAACCUGACGCUGAGGUACGAAAGCGUGGGUAGCAAACAGG